AGAGUUUGAUCCUGGCUCAGAACGAGCGCUGGCGGCGUGCUUAACACAUGCAAGUCGAGUGCGCGGUUGUAGCAAUACAACUGGCGCACGGCGCACGGGUGCGUAACACGUGGGUAAUCUGCCCUCUGACGGGGAAUAACCCGCCGAAAGGCGGGCUAAUUCCGCAUAAUAUUCCGAGAACUUCGGUUUUUGGACUGAAAGGCGUAAGUCGUCGGAGGAGGAGCCCGCGCCCGAUUAGCUAGUUGGUAGGGUAAUGGCCUACCAAGGCUUUGAUCGGUAGCUGGUCUGAGAGGAUGGCCAACCACACUGGAACUGAGACACGGUCCAGACUCCUACGGGAGGCAGCAGUGGGGAAUCUUGCACAAUGGGCGAAAGCCUGAUGCAGCGACGCCGCGUGGGGGAUGAAGCUUCCCGGAGUGUAAACCCCUUUCGAUCCGGACGAAUACCUCGCAAGAGGGGUGGCGGUACGGAUUUAGAAGCCCAA
Molecule: ribosomal RNA, 484 nt
Filed under: uncultured soil bacterium
Lineage: Bacteria
Description: bacterial SSU rRNA
Rfam family: Bacterial small subunit ribosomal RNA
Source: RNAcentral